This 300-nucleotide ribosomal RNA is filed under the name uncultured archaeon. RNAcentral's name for it is "bacterial SSU rRNA". It matches the Rfam family "Bacterial small subunit ribosomal RNA", at positions 496 to 795 of the family's 1533-position model. The record is from RNAcentral.
GCUACACCCGUGGAGACAGCGGGGGUAUUAGUGGUGGUGCAAGCGUGAAUCGAAAUUACUUGGCGUAAAGCGUGCGCAGGAUGCUUAGUAAGUCAGAUGUGAAAUCCCUAGGCUCAACCUAGGAACUGCAUUUGAAACUAAUAAACUAGAGUAUCGUAGAGGGAGGUAGAAUUCCAGGUGUAGCGGUGAAAUGCGUAGAUAUCUGGAGGAAUACCAGUGGCGAAGGCGACCUCCUGGACGAAAACUGACGCUCAAGCACGAAAGCAUGGGGAGCAAACAGGAUUAGAUACCCUAGUAGUC